Molecule: long non-coding RNA, 225 nt
Filed under: Ananas comosus (pineapple)
Lineage: Eukaryota; Viridiplantae; Streptophyta; Magnoliopsida; Poales; Bromeliaceae
Description: long non-coding RNA (ACOM_LNC031006)
Source: RNAcentral
CAUUAUCCGAGUAAUAUACCUUUUAUAAAUUUAUUAAAAUUAUUUUUCUAAUAAUUAAAAUAUUUACUUAUUAUUAUUACUAUAAUGCCACUCUAUUAUACGGCGCACGAGUUUUUUUUUUUUUUUUUNAAAAAAAAAAAAAAAAAAAAAAAAAAAAAAAAAAAAAAAAAAAAAAAAAAAAAAAAAAAAAAAAAAAAAAAAAAAAAAAAAAAAAAAAAAAAAAAA